Molecule: long non-coding RNA, 2275 nt
Organism: Zalophus californianus (California sea lion)
Lineage: Eukaryota; Metazoa; Chordata; Mammalia; Carnivora; Otariidae
Exons: 4
Source: RefSeq, a predicted model, not a curated record
CUCCGAAGCAGGGGCAAGCUCCUGGGGUCUGCGGAGUAGCCACCCUGACAUGAGGAGGGCCUGGCCCAGGCCUCGGAGCUGACUGCAGUGGAGGAAACGUUCCCUGGUGACUUUCGAGAAGCAACACAGAGUCGGGAUGUCUUCGAGUCCAUUCGGCACAUCUGAGACCUAGCGUCCCAGGAUGUCUGGGCACAUGAAAGUCUGCAGGUCCCCAACCCCGUUUGCUCUGCCUGCCUCCCCAGGUGGUGCCUGGUUCAGCCUGGGGCCGAGAUGUCUAAACCUGCCCUUCCCACCUCGAGGAGGGUGGAAAUCCGAUUCCCCGCCUUGCAUUCAGAGAGGCAGUGUUCUGUCUCAGUCUAAGAGAAGGCCGAGUGGUGGUGGUGGGCACGGCAGGGAAGUGGCGACCCUUGGCCACCUCACCCAGCACCACCUCGGGGCAGGUCACCUGGCCCCACAGAGGUGAAUCUGGUUCCCCCAGGGGCUCCUCCUUCCUCAGGAUCCAUGAAUUUGAUGGGGCACGUAUGAAACAGCAGAAAAACCAUUACCUUUGCAUGCAGAUUAAUGUAAGUUUCCUAUUAGGUUUGUCAGGCAGACAGAAAAGGAAGAUCCUAGGGGAUUUUUCUUUCCUGAGAAACCAAAGGAAAGCAAAAACAGAUCUAUCUGUACGUGUGUCUGUGUGUGCGCGUGCGCGCGCGUGUCUGUGUGUGUGUGUGUGUGUGUGUGUGUGUGUGUGUGUGUGUGGCAGGGGAAUACCCAGCAACAGAGGCCUAAAGCAAGAACAGUAUUUGCAAACAGGUUAGCUGCUCAGAUUCUCCUGUGAUCUUGUGUUUCUGGGGCUGGUUAUUCUCCCUCAUUAAGAAGCCCAACUGAAUUCUUGCCUCACCCGCAUGGUAAAAAAUAAUGACAUGCAGACAUGAAGCCUGCACUAAAAAUCAGCAUACAGAGAGAUUCCACCUUUGCCUUUGGUCAUCCCAGCACGUCACGGCCAUAGAUGGAAAGCAUUUAAAAUACUCCUCCUCGCAGACAAGAUACGUGAGACUCGUCACUAGCCCCGCUGCUGAGAGAAGCCUUUGCGUGUUAGUGAAAGUCAAGGAUCAGAAAUUCAGAUAAGGCUCUAACGUGGAUUUCAUGGAGUCAGGGGCCUGACUGUUGACCAAGUGAGGGAUUCCAGGAUGAUCAUGUAACAAAACAGUCUAACUUCAGAGCUGGUUUUACGAGUGCCACCAGACCUCCCACUGCAAGAUGGAGAGAAGAGCUCCGCCAUCUUUCUCUCCCCCUCAGCCCACUGGUUCCAGGGACAGAACAUGCAGCAAAGACCCUCCUGUUUGACUUGGCCCAGUGGUGCCGACACCGGUGACCGUACCUGUGGGCGGAUCUCACCCGGGCCCAGCCUCGCCGGUGGGCAGCCCUGCUGACUGAAGACCAGCAAACGAGGCUCAGAGCUCGGGGAAGGACUGACCUCGAUGGCUUGGUGCUCUGGACCCAGGGAGCACUCGAUGAGUGUUAUUGACUGGCUGACUCAGGCCCUGUCUGCCCACAAGAGCCAUUUUGAGCAGCUUUGACUGAAAGACAGAGGGAGGCCGUUCAAGGCAAAUAAGCAGUCUGGUUGAUUCUGUCCUUCCUCCCCACCCCUGCUCCCGAGGCUGCCUACAGGCUGGGGGUUCUCUCCUUGGGGAAGGAGGCCAAGAGGUGGCAGAGCGGCCCCGCUCCUCUGACAAAUGUUGCCAGUGCUCUCUCCACCAUUGGAGCUCAUCAGACGGAUCCUGAUUCUCCGAAGCGAGCUGGCUCUCAGCUCGCCAUGGCCGCCUUCCACCACACCGGCCACCUUCACUUGGCAACGAUGAGUGGACACCUAGCUGCUCCUUGCCAGGCGGAGAGGAAGACACACAACCCGACUCUCUGCGUCCCUUCUCUGUCAUUCUGGGAAAUGACAGGGGAGGAAGGUGAUUCUUAAAAUUAAAAAAAAAGAAGAAGAAGAAGUCUGUGAUCACCCAAGAACUUCACUUCUUUAGCCCAUAUACAGAGAGCUGAAUAAAGUAUAGACUUCAUUAAUAACGUAAAUUGGACUCAAAACAAGUCAGGGUAUGUUCCCUGGGUAGGACCUUCUCAAUCCUGAAACCCUACUUUUUAGGACUUAAUAUUCAAAGGGAAAAGAAAAGAAAAUGCACACGUGUGUUUGCUUGUGAACCCUUUACGAGACUCCGAUACAAACUGAUGAUAGGCGUUGGCUCUCAGGAGGGGAAUGGGUGUCUGAGGCAGAGGAGUGGGAGGGAGA